AGCGAACGCUGGCGGCAGGCUUAACACAUGCAAGUCGAGCGGGCACUUUCGGGUGUCAGCGGCGGACGGGUGAGUAACGCGUGGGAACGUGCCCUCUGGUUCGGAAUAACUCAGGGAAACUUGAGCUAAUACCGGAUACGCCCUUUUGGGGAAAGGCUUGCUGCCGGAGGAUCGGCCCGUGUCUGAUUAGCUAGUUGGUGAGGUAACGGCUCACCAAGGCGACGAUCAGUAGCUGGUCUGAGAGGAUGAUCAGCCACACUGGGACUGAGACACGGCCCAGACUCCUACGGGAGGCAGCAGUGGGGAAUAUUGGACAAUGGGCGCAAGCCUGAUCCAGCCAUGCCGCGUGAGUGAUGAAGGCCUUAGGGUUGUAAAGCUCUUUUAUCCGGGACGAUAAUGACGGUACCGGAGGAAUAAGCCCCGGCUAACUUCGUG
This 435-nucleotide ribosomal RNA is filed under the name uncultured bacterium. Its description in RNAcentral is "partial 16S ribosomal RNA". It matches the Rfam family "Bacterial small subunit ribosomal RNA", at positions 29 to 507 of the family's 1533-position model. The record is from RNAcentral.